This is a long non-coding RNA of Megalops cyprinoides (Indo-Pacific tarpon), 542 nucleotides long. RefSeq lists it as uncharacterized. NCBI's taxonomy places the organism in Eukaryota, Metazoa, Chordata, Actinopteri, Elopiformes, Megalopidae. The record is from RefSeq and is a predicted model, not a curated record. The transcript is spliced from 3 exons.
ACCGCGGGAGGCACGCACGUCAAGUAUUAAUCUUUGUAGAAUCCAGUAGGUUGUUUAAAUUAAGCAAGUGUUUCUGUUUCGUAAACUCAUCGAUCUGGCCGAACAAACCCCCCUCUCGAUAUCCCAUUAGCCCGCUGAGAAGCAUCACUCUUGGGGCGACUACCAGCGGGAUUUGUGGAGUCACAGCACCUGUAAAGACUGUUUUCAGUAGAACAGAAGGAACCACAUGUGUGUUUGUUUCGGGAAGAUGUUUUCGCUUGUCACCAUAGGUUACCAUACAGCGGAUCUGUUUGUUGGAGAAGAAUUUGGAAGAGAUGGGCAGGGUGUGUGUGUGUGUGGAAAUGCUUGGAGGCUAUGAUGGUGAAUGCUUUGUAUAUAUACCACCUUCUUAUGAAGUCAUUUGUGAUACUAAGAAUAUCUAAUACCAAUGGCUGCUGGACUCCACACAUACACCCCGCUAGGAAGAUGGUGUUCCUCCACUGGACAUCUGAGGUGUUGGGCCUGCUCACAGGUCCAUUAGCCAAGCACAACAGUCCCCUACU